UACAGAGGUCUCAAGCGUUGUUCGGAUUCAUUGGGCGUAAAGGGCGCGUAGGCGGCAAGGCAAGUCGGGUGUGAAAGCUUGGGGCUUAACCCCGAAAGGGCACUCGAAACUGCCCUGCUAGAGGGCCGGAGAGGAGAUCGGAAUUCACGGUGUAGCAGUGAAAUGCGUAGAGCUCGUGAGGAAGACCGGUGGCGAAGGCGGAUCUCUGGACGGCCCCUGACGCUGAGGCGCGAAGGCUAGGGGAGCGAACGGG
Molecule: ribosomal RNA, 253 nt
Filed under: uncultured bacterium
Lineage: Bacteria
Description: partial 16S ribosomal RNA
Rfam family: Bacterial small subunit ribosomal RNA
Source: RNAcentral